RNAcentral lists this ribosomal RNA (252 nucleotides) under uncultured bacterium. Its description in RNAcentral is "partial 16S ribosomal RNA". It matches the Rfam family "Bacterial small subunit ribosomal RNA", at positions 524 to 776 of the family's 1533-position model. The record is from RNAcentral.
UACAGAGGGUGCAAGCGUGUUCGGAAUUAUUGGGCGUAAAGGGCGCGUAGGCGGUGCGGUAAGUCUGUAGUGAAAUCUCUGGGCUCAACUCAGAGUCUGCUGCAGAAACUGCCGUGCUUGAGUGUGGGAGAGGUGAGUGGAAUCCCGGUGUAGCGGUGAAAUGCGUAGAUAUCGGGAGGAACACCUGUGGCGAAAAGCGGCUCACUGGACCACAACUGACGCUGAGGCGCGAAAGCUAGGGGAGCAAACAGG